RNAcentral lists this long non-coding RNA (1185 nucleotides) under Mus musculus (house mouse). RNAcentral describes it as "predicted gene 12781 (Gm12781)". Lineage: Eukaryota; Metazoa; Chordata; Mammalia; Rodentia; Muridae. The record is from RNAcentral.
AGUUCUGCCCCAGGCUCUUUUCCAGGACAGAAGCCUCUCUGGACAGCCUUCUUUCUCUUCUCAGGCAAUUCCUUCUCCUUGGGUUUGUUUUGGAGCCUGAGUGGGGAGCGUGUCUACCUGAGUCGCCUUGGGCACGCUCUCUCCUGUCUUCACAUGUGAUGUAGGAACAGUGAAAGACCUUAGCUCAUGGGAAGGCUGGGAAAAUCCGAGCAUCAAACAUGAUGACAGCGAUAACCACCAGGAUGGUGAUGACGACAACAACGAUGACGGUGGUGAUGAUGAUGACGACGAUGACGAUGACGACGACGAUGACGAUGAUGGUAGUGGUGCUGGCAACAACCCUUUUCAAAUGACCCUUGGACCAGCUCUGACCAAGCCUGGGUUGUGCUGUCAUCCUUCCUGCCCACCUGCAGGAGGCAUAGUGGAUCAUGGGAAGGUCGGGCCAGUUUGGGUAGAACAGCCCCUGGAUUCUAGAGUUGGGGCUUACAGCUUUGUGACUGUAUAAUUAAGAUGAACAUGUAGACCUUAAGGGGGAGACUGCAAAUUUUACCUAAGGUUUAAAGAUAAAAUACAGGGAUUCAGAAAAUGUCCUACUUGCUUUGGGCUUUAACUUUGAGGCAAGAUUAUAAAGUAUCCUGGGGUUCUCUGUCCUUAGGAUCCAGGAGGCAAAGGGCCGGACAGCUCCAGGAAGGAGUCCCCAAGGGCAUGAAGGUCUUCGGAGUUCUUCUUCCUUCUCCUCUUCCUCCUCUUCCUUCUUUUCAUUUUCUUCUUCCUCCUCCUCCUCUUCUUCCUCCUCUUCCUCCUCCCCUCCUUCUCAUCCUCUUUUUGCUUUUCUGUCUUCUCAAUAAACGCCUUUAAAGACAUUGGGAGGGGUGUGGACAGCAGGAAUAUUCACCAAAUGCUGCAUGCAGGUACUGAGGUUUCAGGGACAUUUAACAAAACCAUUUGUUGUUGGACUUUGUUUUAUUUUUGUGAGACAGGGUUUCUCUGUGUAGCCCUGACUAUCCUGGAACUCCCUCUGUAGACCAGGCUGGCCUGGAGAUCAUGAUGUCUCCUGGCCGGGCCUCUGACUCCUGAGUGCUGAGAUUAAAGGUUUGCGCCAACACUCCCCAGCUUAGCCCCUUUUUAUAUAUUUUUAUUAUAAGUAGAUACAAUAAACCUCAAUAAAAUGUACAAAAAAGGAAA